RNAcentral lists this ribosomal RNA (697 nucleotides) under Ramboldia russula. RNAcentral's name for it is "eukaryotic LSU rRNA". It matches the Rfam family "Eukaryotic large subunit ribosomal RNA", at positions 146 to 861 of the family's 3401-position model. Lineage: Eukaryota; Fungi; Ascomycota; Lecanoromycetes; Lecanorales; Ramboldiaceae. The record is from RNAcentral.
UUAUUUGUAGAGGGCGUUUCGGGCGCGGCGCCGGUCUAAGUCCCUUGGAACAGGGCGUCGCAGAGGGUGAGAAUCCCGUAUGUGACCGGCGACCAAGUCCGUGUGAAACCCCUUCGACGAGUCGAGUUGUUUGGGAAUGCAGCUCUAAAUGGGUGGUAAAUUUCAUCUAAAGCUAAAUACCGGCCAGAGACCGAUAGCGCACAAGUAGAGUGAUCGAAAGAUGAAAAGCACUUUGGAAAGAGAGUCAAACAGUACGUGAAAUUGUUGAAAGGGAAGCGUUGGCGACCAGACCUGCCCGUGAGCGAUCAACCGUUGUUCUCAGCGGUGCACUCGUUCACGAUCAGGCCAGCAUCGGUUUGGGCGGUCGGACAAAGGCUGCGAGAAUGUGGCUCCCCUCGGGGAGUGUUAUAGCUCGCGGUGCAAUGCGGCCCGCCCGGACCGAGGACCGCGCUUCGGCUAGGAUGCUGGCGUAAUGGCCGUCAACGACCCGUCUUGAAACACGGACCAAGGAGUCUAACAUCUAUGCAAGUGUUUGGGCGUGAACCCCAUACGCGCAAUGAAAGUGAACGGAGGUGAGAACCCUUCAGGGCGCAUCAUCGACCGAUCCAGAUGUUCUCGGAUGGAUUUGAGUACGAGCAUAGCUGUUGGGACCCGAAAGAUGGUGAACUAUGCCUGAAUAGGGUGAAGCCAGAGGAAA